AUUGGACGCUGGCGGAAUGCUUUACACAUGCAAGUCGAACGGCAGCACGGACUUCGGUCUGGUGGCGAGUGGCGAACGGGUGAGUAACAUAUCGGAACGUAUCCAAUAAUGGGGGAUAACGAGUCGAAAGAUUCGACAAUACCGCAUACGCCCUGUGGGGGAAAGCCAGGGAACUUCCGGCCGGGCGUUAAUGGAGCGGCCGAGAUCUGAUUAGCUAGUUGGUGAGGUAGAGGCUCACCAAGUCGACGAUCAGUAGCUGGUCUGAGAGGACGACCAGCCACACUGGAACUGUGACACGGUCCAGACUCCUACGGGAGGCAGCAGUGGGGAAUUUUGGACAAUGGGCGCAAGCCUGAUCCAGCCAUUCCGCGUGAGUGAAGAAGGCCUUCGGGUUGUAAAGCUCUUUCGCAAGGGAAGAAAACUUAGCCACUAACAUUGGUUGAGGUUGACGGUACCUUGAUAAGAAGCACCGGCUAACUACGUGCCAGCCGCCGCAGUAA
This 500-nucleotide ribosomal RNA is filed under the name uncultured bacterium. Its description in RNAcentral is "partial 16S ribosomal RNA". It matches the Rfam family "Bacterial small subunit ribosomal RNA", at positions 30 to 523 of the family's 1533-position model. The record is from RNAcentral.